UACGAAGGGGGCUAGCGUUGUUCGGAAUUACUGGGCGUAAAGCGCACGUAGGCGGGUAUUUAAGUCAGGGGUGAAAUCCCAGAGCUCAACUCUGGAACUGCCUUUGAUACUGGGUACCUAGAGUAUGGAAGAGGUGAGUGGAAUUCCGAGUGUAGAGGUGAAAUUCGUAGAUAUUCGGAGGAACACCGGUGGCGAAGGCGGCGCCCUGGACCGAGACUGACGCUGAGGCGCGAAAGCGUGGGGAGCAAACAGG
RNAcentral lists this ribosomal RNA (253 nucleotides) under uncultured bacterium. RNAcentral describes it as "partial 16S ribosomal RNA". It matches the Rfam family "Bacterial small subunit ribosomal RNA", at positions 524 to 776 of the family's 1533-position model. The record is from RNAcentral.